Molecule: ribosomal RNA, 510 nt
Filed under: uncultured bacterium
Lineage: Bacteria
Description: partial 16S ribosomal RNA
Rfam family: Bacterial small subunit ribosomal RNA
Source: RNAcentral
GAUGAACGCUGGCGGCGUGCUUAACACAUGCAAGUCGAACGAACAGCGAUGGAGGCUUGCUUCUAUCAAUUUUAGUCGCGCACGGGUGAGUAACGCGUAAUCCACCUGUCUUUCACAGGGGGACAACAGUUGGAAACGACUGCUUAUACCGCAAACGAUCCAAUCUCGGCAUUGGGACGUGAUGAAAGGUUGCCUCUAUUUAUAAGCUAUCAUUGAAGCAGGGUAUUGCGUCUGGUUAGGUAAUUGGGUGGGUAAGGGCCCACCAAGGGGAUGAUCAGUAGGCGGACCGGGAGGAGGGACCGCCACAUUGGGACUGGGACCAGGCCCAGACUCCCACGGGAGGCAGCAGGUGGGAAUCUUCCGCAAUGGAGGGAAGUCUGGCGGAGGCACGCCGCGGGAGGGAAGACGGCCUUCGGGUUGUAAAGCUCUGUUAAUCGGGACGAAUGGUUCUUGUGCGAAUAGUGCGAGGAUUUGACGGUACCGGAACAGAAAGCCACGGCUAACUACGUG